AGAGUUUGAUCAUGGCUCAGGAUGAACGCUGGCGGCGUGCUUAACACAUGCAAGUCGAGCGAAGCGUAUUAGCGGAAGUUUUCGGAUGGAAGCGGAUAUGACUUAGCGGCGGACGGGUGAGUAACGCGUGGAUAACCUGCCUCAUACAGGGGGAUAACAGUUAGAAAUGACUGCUAAUACCGCAUAAGCGCACAGGACCGCAUGGUCCGGUGUGAAAAACUCCGGUGGUAUGGGAUGGAUCCGCGUCUGAUUAGCUGGUUGGUGAGGUAACGGCCCACCAAGGCGACGAUCAGUAGCCGACCUGAGAGGGUGGCCGGCCACAUUGGGACUGAGACACGGCCCAAACUCCUACGGGAGGCAGCAGUGGGGAAUAUUGCACAAUGGGGGGAACCCUGAUGCCGCAACGCCGCGUGAGUGAA
This 419-nucleotide ribosomal RNA is filed under the name uncultured bacterium. Its description in RNAcentral is "bacterial SSU rRNA". It matches the Rfam family "Bacterial small subunit ribosomal RNA", at positions 8 to 409 of the family's 1533-position model. The record is from RNAcentral.